RNAcentral lists this unclassified non-coding RNA (324 nucleotides) under soil metagenome. RNAcentral's name for it is "partial contains 5.8S ribosomal RNA, internal transcribed spacer 2, and large subunit ribosomal RNA". The stretch from base 1 to 121 matches the Rfam family "5.8S ribosomal RNA", at positions 35 to 154 of the family's 154-position model. The record is from RNAcentral.
GAUGAAGAACGCAGCGAAAUGCGAUAAGUAAUGCGAAUUGCAGAAUUUCCGUGAGUCAUCGAAUCUUUGAACGCACAUUGCGCCCUGUGGUAUUCCGCAGGGCAUGCCUGUUCGAGCGUCAUUUCAACCCUCAAGCUCUGCUUGGUGUUGGGCCCUGCCCGCUGCGGCCGGCCCUAAAGACAGUGGCGGUGCCGCCUGGCCCUGAGCGUAGUACAUCUCUCGCUCCAGUGCCCGGUGGUAGCCUGCCAGAACCCCAACUCUCGUGGUUGACCUCGGAUCAGGUAGGGAUACCCGCUGAACUUAAGCAUAUCAAUAAGCGGAGGA